This 253-nucleotide ribosomal RNA is filed under the name uncultured bacterium. RNAcentral's name for it is "partial 16S ribosomal RNA". It matches the Rfam family "Bacterial small subunit ribosomal RNA", at positions 524 to 776 of the family's 1533-position model. The record is from RNAcentral.
UACGGAGGGUGCAAGCGUUAAUCGGAAUUACUGGGCGUAAAGCGCGCGUAGGCGGCUUGGUAAGUCGGAUGUGAAAGCCCUGGGCUCAACCUGGGAACUGCAUUCGAUACUGUCAAGCUAGAGUGUGGGAGAGGGAAGUGGAAUUUCCGGUGUAGCGGUGAAAUGCGUAGAUAUCGGAAGGAACAUCAGUGGCGAAGGCGGCUCACUGGACCGGAACUGACGCUGAGGCGCGAAAGCGUGGGGAGCAAACAGG